Molecule: long non-coding RNA, 381 nt
Filed under: Phasianus colchicus (ring-necked pheasant)
Lineage: Eukaryota; Metazoa; Chordata; Aves; Galliformes; Phasianidae
Description: lncRNA (ENSPCLG00000000821.1)
Source: RNAcentral
GGAAGCCUUAGUGUGCAGGGAUGCAAUGUAUAUCCAGGUUUCUUUCUGGCAUGUGUCUGGGAUGCUUUGAAAUUACAUACUUGUGGAUCCAAGACUGCGGAGUACACCUGCCCUGUUGUCUUGAUGUGGCCACUAUUUAUUUAUUCAUUUAAAGCAGUUUGGAUCAGUAAACCUGCCAGUGAAAAUCAAGAAGGAAUAAGAGAUCAAUCUAAUUUAUGUGACAGAAUCUGGGCAGAAUCCAAUGUGUGGGAAUGCAAAGGCUCUGUAAGCAGAAGAAACAAAAAGAACAAACAAGACUUGGCAGUACUUUGAAGUGGAUUUUCUGUUGAAAAGCCCUUAGUAAACUGAAGAUGUGGUAAAAACCAUUACAUGGAGGUUACC